GAUCUCUCCGGUAGCGAAGGGCUGGAGGCAAACACCGAGCUCCCCCUGAGCCGCCCGGGAGCAGGGAGGGCUCCGCUACCCCGGGGGGCCCUCCCCGCGGGGCAGAUGCCAAGAAGAAUGUGUUGGUGAAGUGGAAGUGACAGACAACUUAAAAGCUCAGUAUCCAGACUUUCUGAGCUGUGUUAUGGGUCACUCAAGCAGUCCACCUUCCUGACUUUCCAUAAUCUACUGGAUUCGUAAUCCACACCAUACUUGAGAACAUGGGGAUCGGCAUAAGAGAUGUAAUCCCAGGCAGUAAGAUUGAGAGGAAAAGGAAAGAGAGAUGGAGAAGGAUGGGACACAAUGCAAGAUGAUGUUUGAAUAAUCUGCAGAGACAGUAGGUACGCCUGCAUAUCCAUGCAGGAUAUCUCCGGACAUGCACCAUGGCGAAAACAUGCUCAGGUAAGUUCUUGGGAAGCAGAAAGGAAAAAAAAUCCAUCUUCAUGGUUCUCUCCUAUUUCCCACUGAUCAAAAUUUACCACACCAGGAGUUUCUUUCCUCAUCGUUCCAGGUUAUGUCGUAUGUUCCCAUGUUAGUCUCUUAGCAGGCCACAGCCAGUGCUCUAUGGUGUGGCCUGUAAUCCUGCUCGGGGAAUGGAGAGAGAAGCCAGAAAUUCAUGGUGUGCAGCUGAAGAACCUAGUUUCUCAGUGGCAAUCAAGGAGGAGGCCCAGGCUGGGAAAGUGGCAGAUAAAUUCCAGCCCAAGGUAGCAAGGCUACAUGGGCCCAAACAAAGCAAGUCAGUUGCAGCGGUGGCUAAGCUGGAACUGGAACCACCUCCAGGAAGUGUUCUGAGGGUUACAAAGAAUAACUAUAGGGAAGUAUAUUCCUAGACAGCACAGAAUAAGUGAAUCUGAACAUAGGCUUUGGAGACAGGCAGAGGGGCACUUAUGUCAUAGCUGUAUAUGAUGAUCUAAGGCAAUUUACUUAAUCUCUUUAAGCCUUAGUUUCUUUACACAUAGCAUGGGGAUGAUAAUACUGUAUAGCUCAUCAUUUGGUAUGAUGCUAGGAAUACAGUAAAUGCUAAAUAAAUUAUGGCAAUUAUGACCAAAGAUGACUGUGUGAUCUUCCCAAUGCUUUCUUUUCUCUAGGCUGACUCUGCAUGUACUGCUCCUAAAUCCAUCUUGAGCAGGGUGGGUGGCUUGAAACCAAGUCCUUUAGUCAGCCUCAGGGGCAGCUGCACUUGAGGUCAUGGAGCCCCACAUGAGGUCACAUGGCCCCCACAGCAUGCUGACACAUUAAGCCCCAAGAUGGCAGCACUGCUAACCCAUCACCUUAGGUAUGCAGAAAGGACAUAUCUUGAAUAACCAUUUUUUCCUAAACUUUUUUUCCCUUCAAAGUAGAAAAAUAAAGUUUUUUGGUCAAAAUUGCUUUGUUGGCCCCAGAAAGCACAGCCAAAUACAUUAGUAUUACUAGGUCCACACAAUAAAGAGGUUCCUAUAAGACUUUAAAAAUAGAGGAGAUUACUCUUACACAAAUGGUAUUUGAUAGGAUGUAAUCUCUAAAUUAUACACAUCAAAAUUUCUUUGUUCUCAUAAAUUAAAAUUAUUUCAACUUUACAUAAGCAUACUAGAUGCCAAGAGGGAGUUCCCUGGUGGCCUAGUGGUUAAGGAUUCAGCAUUGUCACUACUGUGACUUGGGUUAGUUAGGUCCUUGGCUUGAGAACUUCCAUGUGCCACNAAAAAAAAAAAAAAAAAAAAAAAAAAAAAAAAAAAAAG
This 1754-nucleotide long non-coding RNA is filed under the name Sus scrofa (pig). Its description in RNAcentral is "lncRNA (ENSSSCG00025006655.1)". The record is from RNAcentral. Lineage: Eukaryota; Metazoa; Chordata; Mammalia; Artiodactyla; Suidae.